RNAcentral lists this long non-coding RNA (1206 nucleotides) under Ictidomys tridecemlineatus (thirteen-lined ground squirrel). Its description in RNAcentral is "lncRNA (ENSSTOG00000032695.1)". Lineage: Eukaryota; Metazoa; Chordata; Mammalia; Rodentia; Sciuridae. The record is from RNAcentral.
UAUUCGAAAGGAGACCGACUUGCUAUCCUGAGAAGAGCAGCGUCCAGCCUACAGGUUUUGGUUCUCCGAAGAGGGCGUGGGUUUCUCCGGGUGCGGGCUGAGCCUCCCUGGGGUGUGGGGAGACGAAGAGAUCCCUGGCCCAAGUCGCCUCGUUCCCGCUCUGAGACUUGGUCCUUUGCUGACUGGAGAGGGAGAGAGACUUGGGGCCCUCCUGGCCCCAGGCAUGGUGAUGUCCUGCUCCAGGGUGGCCUGGACCUCCUUUCCAUCUCUUCCUCUGGUGACUGAGCUCAUAUUAAGUGUCUGAAGAAGACAUUUUCUGAAGAUGUGUGUCAUAAUGGCUGCUGAAGCUUCUAUUCCAGAUCUGAAGAGCAAGCAGUGCUCAGGAGGCCCCCCAACACUUGCAUCUCUGUUGGACACAAAUGUGGCAGUUUCUUACUGCACUUCUGAAAUAGUCCAGUAGAAUGAACAGUAAGGCAUUGGCUAAAUGACAAAGGGAGUCAUCAAAUCUGCAUCCCUAUUACUACAACAUCAGUGGAGCACAGAACCUUCUUUGUUUAACAUCAGAGAAGGGUGUGGAUGCUAUACAGAACCAGGAACUCAUAGAGAGGAAGCAAGUGUGGUGUGGAGUCUACUAGACAGGCUACUGGAAAAGAGUGGACUGACCACAAGGAUACUAUAGACCUUUCCUAGUGGAAGUGUCAUCUCAGAUGAUCUUUAAACUUACACAUUCUGAAGCCAUUACAUGGAGUUAUCAGAUGUAGCAAAUAAAAAUACAGGAUGCUAAGGUAAGUUUGAAUUUAGAAACAAACAUAAAAUUUUAUUGAAUGCCAAAUAAUUAUACUAAAAUGAUUUGUUGUUUAUCUGCAAUUCAUUUCGAAUAGGUGUAUUUUAUCUGGCAGGCUUGCACAAGGGGAGCUUGUAGGGUGGAACCAAGGUGCUCCUGUCAACAACCCCAGCUGACCUCCCAAGAAAUGACAUCAGCACUCAUGAUUCAUGGAAGUGAGCUCUCUCAGAUGUUCCAGAUGAGUGGAGCUCCAGAUGACAGAGAUGACAACACCAUGGGGAGAGUUAGCCUUAAAUGACAGAUACUACAUAGAGGAAAAAAAUACCUACUCAUCCUUGUCAAUACACAGACACCAGAAUGAUAAUAAAUGGGUAUUGCUUGAGAAUUUUAAGCAAAAAUGGAAAUCACUCCUGUGGUCUAAG